Molecule: long non-coding RNA, 1070 nt
Filed under: Homo sapiens (human)
Lineage: Eukaryota; Metazoa; Chordata; Mammalia; Primates; Hominidae
Description: HSALNT0249499
Source: RNAcentral
AGAUAUUCCAGAUGAAGGAAGGCCUUAUUGGAUACAUUAAACUGUGAGGAACCAGUAAGUUGUGCCAGAAAUGUAUCCUCGUGUUUGAUGAAAAAACAAGCAAGCAAACAAACUCUGAAGGAAAUGAGAGGGAAGAAAGGAAGAAGUGAGGCAUAAACCAAGGGAAAAUUGAGGCAUAUUUUCUUAAUAGAAGUAAGAUGCGAUGUGAUAUGGUUUGGCUCUGUGUCCCCACCCAAAUGUCAUUUUGAAUUGUAAUCCCCAUAAUCCCCACGUGUCAAGGGAGGGACCUGGUGGGAGGUGAUUGGAUCAUGGGGGCAGUUUCCCCCCUGCUGUUCAUGUGAUAGUUAGUGAGUUCUCACGAGAGCUGAUGGUUUUAUAAGCAUCUGACAUUUCCCCUGCUUCUCUCACCUGCCGCCAUUUCAGACGCGCCUUUUCUUCUCCUUUGCCUUCUGUUCUGAUUGUAAGUUUCCUAAGGCCUCCCAACCAUUCAGAACUGUGAGUCAAUUAAACCCCCUUCCUUUAUAAAGUACCCCUUCUUGGGUAUUUCUGUACAGCGGUGUGUAAAGGGACUAAUACACUAUGCAUUCCAUAUCUUGUUUAUUGUCUUUUAUAAACUCUAUUUUUCCCAAAUGAUUUCUGGUUUGUAACCUUGGGUUUUUCAAGCUGAUACUUCCAAUUUCUUCUAAAAGAUCCAGUUUGUUGAUCUGUUAUCCAUUUGGUCUACAAAUAAUUAUAUUAAACUCCACUUUAAUUAGCUUCUUCAAACUGUUUUAGAGGCUACAUUCACUAUGAAAAUAAGAUCAACAAAAUAUGGCAACCAGAUUCUCAAUGAAUAUUUGAUAAGUGUUGAUGUAUGAAGAUUUUGAUAGUCUGCAGUAUGUGUAUUUAUUGUACUAAAAUGAAAUCUGGAAAACUCUCUGAUUUACAAAUUCCAAAGUUGCCUUUCUUCCCACAAUCUCACCUAGACUUACAUGCUCAUAAUAUAAACCCAUUUUCUUUUGAGCAUUUUAAUACAGAGGGUAAGAGAUGAUCAUAUGCAAUCACCUUAUGCUUUGCUUUCUUUUCUAUAU